Molecule: ribosomal RNA, 161 nt
Filed under: Thermothelomyces fergusii
Lineage: Eukaryota; Fungi; Ascomycota; Sordariomycetes; Sordariales; Chaetomiaceae
Description: Thermothelomyces sp. XWW-2019c 5.8S ribosomal RNA
Rfam family: 5.8S ribosomal RNA
About the family: 5.8S ribosomal RNA (5.8S rRNA) is a component of the large subunit of the eukaryotic ribosome. It is transcribed by RNA polymerase I as part of the 45S precursor that also contains 18S and 28S rRNA.
Source: RNAcentral
AAACUUUCAACAACGGAUCUCUUGGUUCUGGCAUCGAUGAAGAACGCAGCGAAAUGCGAUAAGUAAUGUGAAUUGCAGAAUUCCGUGAAUCAUCGAAUCUUUGAACGCACAUUGCGCCCGCCAGAUUCUCCCUGGCGGGCAUGCCUGUUCGAGCGUCAUUU